GAAAGAUAAACCGUCGCGGGUAUUAAAAUACGAAUUUAUUUUGCUAUAUAUUUCUACUCCGGAGAUUUAGAUGGGUGAGUCCUUAAUUAACCCCACUGAGACAGGAAGCACCACAGACUAACAACUAUUGAGGAGAAAUGAUGGGAAAGAAAGCAACAAUGAAUAGGCUACAAGAAGAAGAAAAAAAGGAGAAGGUGAAGACAGCAGACUACAGGAGCAUGAGUUGCAUUCCUGACCCUGACUUUAGCCGUAAGAUGGAGAGGAAUGUGUGAGGACCCACGCACACACACCAAAGUUUCAGCAGGUGUAGAAUCUGGAAAUCCAGUGUCAAUGUAGUUCAUGACUGACAUCUCAAUGAAGACAGAGGGGGGAAGGGGUACGAGGUCAGAAGAGCUGUUCCGAAAAGGGCUGAAAUGGAAAGACGUUUUGAUAUGGAUGGCCAUCAAGUGACAGUUUGAUAUGGAGGAAAAAGGAAAAGCAAAUGAGCGGACAUUUGUUAUGGUUGUGGUAAAAAUAGGCAGAUAAAAAAGGGACUAUGGGAGUUGAAGUCCCCUGAGAUCCCGCCUUGCCAAAGAGAAUGAGUCACUGCGCAACCACAUCUACCAUGUGUGGGAAACCUCCAUGGAGCACAGAGAUGCAUACUUGUACCAUUUCUGUAAGACAGACACACUUGGACACAUGGACACCCACACAUA
Long non-coding RNA from Sinocyclocheilus grahami, 695 nucleotides. RefSeq lists it as uncharacterized. The transcript is spliced from 3 exons. NCBI's taxonomy places the organism in Eukaryota, Metazoa, Chordata, Actinopteri, Cypriniformes, Cyprinidae. The record is from RefSeq and is a predicted model, not a curated record.